UUUUUUAUGAGAGUUUGAUCCUGGCUCAGGAUGAACGCUGGCGGCGUGCUUAACACAUGCAAGUCGAACGAAGCAACUUAUC
This 82-nucleotide ribosomal RNA is filed under the name Lachnospira multipara. Its description in RNAcentral is "16S rRNA. Bacterial SSU". It matches the Rfam family "Bacterial small subunit ribosomal RNA", at positions 1 to 80 of the family's 1533-position model. The record is from RNAcentral. Lineage: Bacteria; Bacillati; Bacillota; Clostridia; Lachnospirales; Lachnospiraceae.